UGUUACGUUGAGAGUCUCACAGGUCACAAGAGUCCAGUGAACGCCGUGUCAGCCAGUGAGACGACAGGUGAUAUCGCCACAGUGUGUGAUUCAGUGGGUGGAGGAAGUGAUUUGAGGCUGUGGACGAUCAACGGAGAUUUGAUUGGUCAUGUUCACUGUCGAGAGAUCAUCUCUUCGGUGGCGUUCUCCAAUCAGCCGGAGGGAGUGUCGGUCAAUGUGAUCGCUGGCGGACUGGAGAACGGUGUGGUCAGGUUGUGGAGCACAUGGGACCUGAAGCCAGUCAGAGAG
Long non-coding RNA from Sinocyclocheilus anshuiensis, 288 nucleotides. RefSeq lists it as uncharacterized. The record is from RefSeq and is a predicted model, not a curated record. Lineage: Eukaryota; Metazoa; Chordata; Actinopteri; Cypriniformes; Cyprinidae. The transcript is spliced from 3 exons.